AAACUUUGCAAUGUGCGCAAGCACGACAAGGUUAAUCCGAGUGUUUCCUGCUAAAGGAAUCUUUUGCUAGUCCUAAAAACACUAGCGAAUAAGGGGUGGGCAAGUUCUGGUGUCAGCCGCCGCGGUAAAACCAGCACCUCAAGUGGUCAGGAGGAUUAUUGGGCCUAAAGCAUCCGUAGCCUGCUCUGUAAGUUUCCGGUUAAAUCCAUUAGCUCAACUAAUGGCCUGCCGGAAAUACUGCAGAGCUAGGAAGUGGGAGAGGUAGACGGUACUCGGUAGGAAGGGGUAAAAUCCUUUGAUCUAUUGAUGACCACCUGUGGCGAAGGCGGUCUACCAGAACACGUUCGACGGUGAGGGAUGAAAGCUGGGGGAGCAAACCGGAUUAGAUACCCGGGUAGUCCCAGCUGUAAACGAUGCAGACUCGGUGAUGCCCUGGCUUGUGGCCAGUGCAGUGCCGCAGGGAAGCCGUUAAGUUUGCCGCCUGGGAAGUACGUACGCAAGUAUGAAACUUAAAGGAAUUGGCGGGGGAGCAC
RNAcentral lists this ribosomal RNA (533 nucleotides) under uncultured archaeon. RNAcentral's name for it is "bacterial SSU rRNA". It matches the Rfam family "Archaeal small subunit ribosomal RNA", at positions 345 to 879 of the family's 1478-position model. The record is from RNAcentral.